RNAcentral lists this long non-coding RNA (838 nucleotides) under Coffea arabica (coffee). Its description in RNAcentral is "long non-coding RNA (CARA_LNC002066)". Lineage: Eukaryota; Viridiplantae; Streptophyta; Magnoliopsida; Gentianales; Rubiaceae. The record is from RNAcentral.
UUCACUACUGCUACUAGUCCGGGUUCCCUAUUUGGAUCAGGAACAAAGAAAGCAAGCUUGUGUUUGUUUGGAUCAAACACGUCACCAGAAUGUGGGGUGAAUUUAUUCACCCCGUAGCGUGGCAGAAUCUAAAAAUACAAUUAGAAGCUGAUAAUCACCAAUCACACAAGAAAUUAAUAACAUCAUAUAAACAUCGAGUUACCCAAUUGUCGCCUGUUCAACAAAAAUUACGAGAAAAUCAUUCAUCAGGCAUCAUACAUCCCAAUGGGACCGAAAGAGGCCAUCACUAUUCACUACUUCAUUCAGGUCAUAAACUAAAACCCACAUAACAGGCUACGAAAGAAAAUCAAAUCAUCCACAAACAGCUAAAGAAAAACAUUAAAAAAAAAAAUAGUAGUACUAGUAGCAAAUUAGCAACUAAACAAAAGGGCUCAACUUGGACUUUACACUCCUUACGUAGUUUGAUGUUCGUUCAGCACAAAAAACGAUUACGGGGAUAGAAAAAGGUAUUAUUUACCUUAGAAAGUCCAUCCUCACAUAUUUCUGCAUUAGUCACAAGAUCUUUAAAAAGAUCCUGCAAACAUAUUCAAAGCCAUUAGGGUUUAAGAGCUCCGUUUUUUCUUUUUUUUUUUGCUUUUUUUUGAGUUAAAAAAAAAGCAAGAAGGAGGAGAGACUUACUCUUAAACCUUGGGUCUUAACCACCUCCUCCUCCGUGGGAUGGAUACGAGGUUCAAAUCUCUUCUCGAACAACAUAUUGAUGUGAGAAUCAAUAUCUGCUUUGUCCUUAGUUUGCCUGUUUUCGUAUUGUUCAAAAUCUAUAUCUGCUUUUUUACAGAGA